Molecule: long non-coding RNA, 529 nt
Organism: Melospiza melodia melodia
Lineage: Eukaryota; Metazoa; Chordata; Aves; Passeriformes; Passerellidae
Exons: 2
Source: RefSeq, a predicted model, not a curated record
CCUACAGCUGAAAAGUGGGAGGUGAUCUGCUGCUGCCCCUGCAGCCUUCAGCUGGGAGAAGCAACAGCCCCUUGUUUACCUUGGAAGCAUUGCUAUGCAUCAGAAUGUCUCCUGCUCCCAGGUCCUUCUGGUGAUGGGUGUUUCCAGGGUCUGGAUAACUGCCUCCCUGAAAAAGAGUCCUGCAUGCCACCUUAGCAGGUGGCAUUGUUUGUUUGUCUGAAGACCAUCUGAAGAGGAACAACAGGGAUGUUGCAAGACAGAGUUUAGAAGAACUGGACAGUGCAAGGAGUAUUUGGCUUAGCUGUCUGCUCUCUGUCUGGAAUAGCUGUGUGAACCCCAUAUCCUGGACUUUGGGGUAUAGGAUGGGUGUCCCUGUAGUAUUUCUUGUCUGUCUUUACGUACUGUUGAGUGAACUUUGCAGUCUGGAGCUCUACAAAAAGCUUUGGUGAUACACUGUAGAAGCAAACAAAAGAUACUUUUCUUUGUCUAAUAUUAUGCUACUGAAAUAGCUUUUUCAGUGACUUUUGAA